UGGGGACUACGAUCGCAAGAUUGAAACUCAAAGGAAUUGACGGGGGCCCGCACAAGCGGUGGAGUAUGUGGUUUAAUUCGACGCAACGCGAAGAACCUUACCAAGGCUUGACAUUGAGUGAAAGACCUAGAGAUAGGUCCCCUUCUUCGGAAGCACGAAAACAGGUGGUGCAUGGCUGUCGUCAGCUCGUGUCGUGAGAUGUUGGGUUAAGUCCCGCAACGAGCGCAACCCUUAUCCUAUGUUACCAGCACGCAACGGUGGGGACUCAUAGGAGACUGCCAGGGAUAACCUGGAGGAAGGCGGGGAUGACGUCAAGUCAUCAUGCCCCUUAUGUCUUGGGCUACACACGUACUACAAUGGUCGGCAACAAAGGGCAGCGAAGCCGCGAGGCGGAGCCAAUCCCAGAAACCCGACCCCAGUUCGGAUCGCAGGCUGCAACCCGCCUGCGUGAAGUUGGAAUCGCUAGUAAUCGCAGGUCAGCAUACUGCGGUGAAUACGUUCCCGGGCCUUGUACACACCGCCCGUCACACCACGAAAGUUGGUAACACCCGAAGCCGGUGAGAUAACCUUUUAGGAGUCAGCUGUCUAAGGUGGGGCCGAUGAUUGGGGUGAAGUCGUAACAAGGUAGCCGUUCGAGAACGAGCGGCUGGAUCACCUCCUUUCUAUGGAGA
Molecule: ribosomal RNA, 671 nt
Filed under: Acidaminococcus fermentans
Lineage: Bacteria; Bacillati; Bacillota; Negativicutes; Acidaminococcales; Acidaminococcaceae
Description: bacterial SSU rRNA
Rfam family: Bacterial small subunit ribosomal RNA
Source: RNAcentral